RNAcentral lists this ribosomal RNA (507 nucleotides) under uncultured bacterium. Its description in RNAcentral is "partial 16S ribosomal RNA". It matches the Rfam family "Bacterial small subunit ribosomal RNA", at positions 28 to 523 of the family's 1533-position model. The record is from RNAcentral.
GAUGAACGCUAGCUACAGGCUUAACACAUGCAAGUCGAGGGGUAACAAGAGGAAAGCUUGCUUUUCUUGUUGACGACCGGCGCACGGGUGAGUAACGCGUAUCCAACCUGCCUAUAACUAGGGAAUAACCUUGCGAAAGUAAGAAUAAUACCCUAUGAUUUCCUUUGAUGACAUCAAAUUAGGAAUAAAGAUUUAUCGGUUAUAGAUGGGGAUGCGUCUGAUUAGCUUGUUGGCGGGGUAACGGCCCAACAAGGCAACGAUCAGUAGGGGUUCUGAGAGGAGGGUCCCCCACAUUGGAACUGAGACACGGUCCAAACUCCUACGGGAGGCAGCAGUGAGGAAUAUUGGUCAAUGGGCGGAAGCCUGAACCAGCCAAGUAGCGUGCAGGAUGACGGCCCUAUGGGUUGUAAACUGCUUUUAUACAGGAAUAAAGUUAGCCACGUGUGGUUAUUUGUGGGUACUGUAUGAAUAAGGACCGGCUAAUUCCGUGCCAGCAGCCCGCAGUAA